UACAGAGGGGGCAAGCGUUAUUCGGAAUUAUUGGGCGUAAAGGGCGCGUAGGCGGCUUUUCAAGUGACGGUUGAAAUCCCUCGGCUUAACCGAGGAACUGCCUGUCAGACUGGAAGGCUUGAGACCGGGAGAGGUGAGUGGAAUUCCCAGUGUAGCGGUGAAAUGCGUAGAUAUUGGGAGGAACACCAGUGGCGAAGGCGGCUCACUGGACCGGAACUGACGCUGAGGCGCGAAAGCGUGGGGAGCAAACAGG
Molecule: ribosomal RNA, 253 nt
Filed under: uncultured bacterium
Lineage: Bacteria
Description: partial 16S ribosomal RNA
Rfam family: Bacterial small subunit ribosomal RNA
Source: RNAcentral